UCUUUCUCUUCCUCCUUCUUCAUGGAGAUGAGGUCCUCUGUGUCUUUGGUGUAGUUCGGCCUCCAUUUUUCGCUGGGGUAGCCCACCGCUGUUCCUUCAUAUCUCCCUCCUUCUUUUAAGCAAGGGUUCUCUCUAGCUUUUUACGGAGUUGUGGUAGCAUAAAAGGGCCAUCGAGAAGGUUCUCUUCUUUCUUGUCAGGUCUCGAAUGGUCGGACCUUAAUUGGUAU
This 227-nucleotide long non-coding RNA is filed under the name Elaeis guineensis (African oil palm). RNAcentral describes it as "long non-coding RNA (EGUI_LNC071756)". Lineage: Eukaryota; Viridiplantae; Streptophyta; Magnoliopsida; Arecales; Arecaceae. The record is from RNAcentral.